GACGAGAGGUGCAAAUGUUAUUCAUCAUGACUGGACGUAAAGGGCGGGUAGCUUGAAUAGUAGGUUAGAAAUAAAAGAUUGGAUUUCAAUUCCUAUAAUAUGUUUAAAACUAUUAUUCUAGAGUAUGAAAUAUAGUAUAUGUAUUCUUAAUGGAGAGGUGGCAUUUUUAGAUAUUAAGAGGACAGACAAUAGGCGAAAGCUUAUAUUAGUUUUAUACUGACAGUGAUUUCUGCUAAAGCACAGGGAGCAAACAGG
This 255-nucleotide ribosomal RNA is filed under the name uncultured bacterium. RNAcentral describes it as "partial 16S ribosomal RNA". It matches the Rfam family "Bacterial small subunit ribosomal RNA", at positions 524 to 776 of the family's 1533-position model. The record is from RNAcentral.